AAUUCUCAACCUUUACCAGCUUUGUUGCUUGGUCUAGGCUUGGAUGUGGAGGUUUUUGCAGGCCAAUUGAAAGGUCAGCUCCUCUGAAAUACAUUAGCGGUACCCCUUCGUGGUUAAAUGACUAUUGGUGUGAUAAACUAUCUACGCUUAUGGGCAACCACGUUCACUUGAAUGUGAAGAGGGAUUUGGCUGCUUCUAACCGUCUUUUAAAAGACAAUAGAAUAUAAAUGACU
This 233-nucleotide unclassified non-coding RNA is filed under the name uncultured Crepidotus. RNAcentral describes it as "sequence contains ITS2". The record is from RNAcentral. Lineage: Eukaryota; Fungi; Basidiomycota; Agaricomycetes; Agaricales; Crepidotaceae.